RNAcentral lists this long non-coding RNA (1193 nucleotides) under Homo sapiens (human). Its description in RNAcentral is "uncharacterized LOC105375387, transcript variant 4 (LOC105375387)". The record is from RNAcentral. Lineage: Eukaryota; Metazoa; Chordata; Mammalia; Primates; Hominidae.
UGUAUUCUGCUAUGUCUACUGGGAGAAUACACUAGUGGGGAUAGUUCUGUGUAUACAGUGAUUAAGCACAUAGGUUCUGGAGCCAGUCUGUUUCUUUCAAAAUCACCUCAUUGCUUUUGAAGAAUCAGGGAAACCCCCAUGAGACUACAGGUGUGAAGCAAGAUAGAAGCAUCAGUGCAAAAGAGUACUGCAUUUCCAAAUAAAGCCACUCACAAUCUUUAAUCAGGCUGUAAAUUUUAAGAAAUCUGGACCAAGACAGUUUGCUCCAAGAGUAUCCCACAAAUGCAGAUCUUCAGAGUGAGAUUUUAUUAUUGGAUUGCUCACCUGUCUGUUGAUUCUCUUACUGAGAUACCUUGGAACAUGGUUUGAAUAAUAUUGCUCUAACUUCUUUCAUGUCAGGAAGCUCUGAGAUACUUCCUUUUCUUACUUAAUAAGAAUAGACCUUGGAGGUCUGGACCUGGACAUGAACGUACACUUUUCUAAAGAAGAUAUACACAUGGCCAACAAGCAUGUGAAAAAAAGCUCAAUAUCACUGAUCAUUAGAGAAAUGCAAAUGAAAAUCACAAUGAGAGACCAUCUCACACCAGUCAGAAUGGCUAUUAUUAAAAACUCAAAAAAUAACAGAUGCUGGCGAGGUUGCAGAGAAAAGGGAACACUUAUACACUGUUGGUGGGAGUGUAAAUUAGUUCAACUAUUGUGUAAAGCAAUAUGUCAAUUCCUCAAAGAGCUAAAAAAGAACUACCAUUGGACUCAGCAAUCCCAUUACUGGGUAUAUACUCAGAGGAAUAUAAGUCACUCUACUAUAAACACACACGCAUGCAAAUUUUCAUUGUAGCACUAUUUACAAUAGCAAAGACAUGGAAUCAACCUAAAUGCUCAUCAAUGACAGAUCGGAUAAAGAAAAUAUGCAUCUUCAACCUUUCUGGACUACAGCACCUGCCAACUGACCCCCACAUCAUGGCUCCAACGCUGGCUUCAUCACAUAUCUUCUCUCUCAGUCCCUUUGGCUCUCAGGGUGCAAUAGCUUAACAAAAUUGCUGAUCUAGGUGCCUCAGCAUUGUUUCUUUGUCAUAGUCUCUGUAUUAUCUUAUUUUGAGCCAUUCUUUUCCUGCAAAGAUCCUAACUGAAUGAGAUAACUACUUCAUAAGCUAUUUGUAAGGUUUAAAUAAAUUAAUGCAUAUUUAAUACAUGAA